This 295-nucleotide ribosomal RNA is filed under the name uncultured bacterium. RNAcentral's name for it is "partial 16S ribosomal RNA". It matches the Rfam family "Bacterial small subunit ribosomal RNA", at positions 333 to 626 of the family's 1533-position model. The record is from RNAcentral.
UGGAUCCUACGGGAGGCAGCAGUGAGGAAUAUUGGUCAAUGGUCGGGAGACUGAACCAGCCAAGCCCCGUGAGGGAUGAAGGUACAGAGUAUCGUAAACCUCUUUUGUCAGGGAACAAAGGCGGGGACGCCUCCCCGGAUGAGUGUACCUGAAUAAAAAGCAACGGCUAACUCCGUGCCAGCAGCCGCGGUAAUACGGAGGAUGCGAGCGUUAUCCGGAUUUAUUGGGUUUAAAGGGUGCGCAGGCGGUCUGUUAAGUCAGCGGUCAAAGCCCGGGGCUCAACCCCGGCCCUCCG